ACCAACUGCGGGGAGACGGCGGGGGGAAGAGGUAGGGGCAGAGGGUGGGCAGGAAUUACUGGGCGUAAAGGGCUCGUAGGUGUGUGGGCGCGUUGUUGGUGAAAACUCACAGCUCAACUGUGGGCGGGCGGUCGAUACGGGCAGACGUGAGUACUGCAGGGGAGACUGGAAUUCCUGGUGUAGCGGUGGAAUGCGCAGAUAUCAGGAGGAACACCGGUGGCGAAGGCGGGUCUCUGGGCAGUAACUGACGCUGAGGAGCGAAAGCGUGGGGAGCGAACAGGAUUAGAUACCCCGGUAGUC
RNAcentral lists this ribosomal RNA (300 nucleotides) under uncultured bacterium. RNAcentral describes it as "bacterial SSU rRNA". The stretch from base 52 to 300 matches the Rfam family "Bacterial small subunit ribosomal RNA", at positions 547 to 795 of the family's 1533-position model. The record is from RNAcentral.